GACGAACGCUGGCGGCGUGCUUAACACAUGCAAGUCGAACGGAAAGGCCUUUUCGGAGGUACUCGAGUGGCGCACGGGUGAGUAACACGUGGGUGAUCUGCCCUGCACUCUGGGAUAAGCCUGGGAAACUGGGUCUAAUACCGGAUAGGACCGCACUUUAGUGUGUGGUGGAAAGUUUUUUCGGUGUAGGAUGAGCCCGCGGCCUAUCAGCUUGUUGGUGGGGUAAUGGCCUACCAAGGCGGCGACGGGUAGCCGGACUGAGAGGUUGGUCGGCCACAUUGGGACUGAGAUACGGCCCAGACUCCUACGGGAGGCAGCAGUGGGGAAUAUUGCACAAUGGGCGCAAGCCUGAUGCAGCGACGCCGCGUGGGGGAUGACGGCCUUCGGGUUGUAAACUCCUUUCGCCAGGGACGAAGCGUUUUGUGACGGUACCUGGAGAAGAAGCACCGGCUAACUACGUG
Molecule: ribosomal RNA, 461 nt
Filed under: uncultured bacterium
Lineage: Bacteria
Description: partial 16S ribosomal RNA
Rfam family: Bacterial small subunit ribosomal RNA
Source: RNAcentral